UACGAACUGUGCAAACGUUAUUCGGAAUCACUGGGCUUAAAGGGUGCGUAGGCGGCUAUGAAGGUCAGGUGUGAAAUCCCACGGCUCAACCGUGGAACUGCGCUUGAAACCGCAUAGCUUGAGGGAGUCAGAGGUAAGCGGAACUGAUGGUGGAGCGGUGAAAUGCGUUGAUAUUAUCAGGAACACCGGUGGCGAAAGCGGCUUACUGGGACUUUUCUGACGCUGAGGCACGAAAGCCAGGGGAGCAAACGGG
Molecule: ribosomal RNA, 253 nt
Filed under: uncultured bacterium
Lineage: Bacteria
Description: partial 16S ribosomal RNA
Rfam family: Bacterial small subunit ribosomal RNA
Source: RNAcentral